This 217-nucleotide ribosomal RNA is filed under the name bacterium. RNAcentral describes it as "partial 23S ribosomal RNA". It matches the Rfam family "Bacterial large subunit ribosomal RNA", at positions 2693 to 2925 of the family's 2925-position model. The record is from RNAcentral.
CGGAAUGAACCAACCUCUGGUGUAUCAGUUGUACCGCCAGGUGCAUUGCUGAGUAGCUAAGUUGGGAAUAGAUAAGCGCUGAAAGCAUAUAAGCGCGAAACUAACCCCAAGAUUAGAACUCACAGAUUUCCCGUAGAUGACGGGUUUGAUAGGCUCCAGGUGUAAGUCCAGUAAUGGAUUCAGCCGGGGAGUACUAAUAAAUCAUUUUAUCCUUCGA